RNAcentral lists this long non-coding RNA (295 nucleotides) under Microcebus murinus (gray mouse lemur). Its description in RNAcentral is "lncRNA (ENSMICG00000048286.1)". Lineage: Eukaryota; Metazoa; Chordata; Mammalia; Primates; Cheirogaleidae. The record is from RNAcentral.
GAGAGCAGAGGAAGCGGAAGUGCACGGCCUGCCGGGGGGUGCGGUGAGAAGCUGAGUGCAGUGGCACCCCGGCCCGAGCAGCACCCACUUUUUGCUGGGGCUCUGAGACCUGAGUCCCUCCUUGUCCCUGCCCCGCAGGCUGGGCUGGGCUGGGGGGCGCUGCAGCCCUGUCCUGCACACGGUGGAGCAGGACCGCCGCGGCCUGCUCACGCGCCCAAGCAGACCCUGAGAACAAGAUUCGAGACGCAAUCCGUACAAUGUGGAUGCAACACAGACCAGAAAUGAUUCGUAAAAC